AGUUGCGAACGGGUGAGUAACGCGUAGGUAACCUGCCUCUUAGCGGGGGAUAACUAUUGGAAACGAUAGCUAAUACCGCAUAAAAGUCGAUAUCGCAUGAUAUUGAUUUGAAAGGUGCAAUUGCAUCACUAAGAGAUGGACCUGCGUUGUAUUAGCUAGUUGGUGAGGUAACGGCUCACCAAGGCGACGAUACAUAGCCGACCUGAGAGGGUGAUCGGCCACACUGGGACUGAGACACGGCCCAGACUCC
Molecule: ribosomal RNA, 250 nt
Filed under: uncultured Streptococcus sp.
Lineage: Bacteria; Bacillati; Bacillota; Bacilli; Lactobacillales; Streptococcaceae
Description: partial 16S ribosomal RNA
Rfam family: Bacterial small subunit ribosomal RNA
Source: RNAcentral